UGGGGAAUAUUGCACAAUGGGCGAAAGCCUGAUGCAGCGACGCCGCGUGAGGGAUGACGGCCUUCGGGUUGUAAACCUCUUUCAGCAGGGAAGAAGCGAAAGUGACGGUACCUGCAGAAGAAGCGCCGGCUAACUACGUGCCAGCAGCCGCGGUAAUACGUAGGGCGCAAGCGUUGUCCGGAAUUAUUGGGCGUAAAGAGCUCGUAGGCGGUUAGUCGCGUCUGCUGUGAAAACUCGAGGCUCAACCUCGGGCUUGCAGUGGGUACGGGCUGACUAGAGUGCGGUAGGGGUGACUGGAAUUCCUGGUGUAGCGGUGGAAUGCGCAGAUAUCAGGAGGAACACCGAUGGCGAAGGCAGGUCACUGGGCCGCAACUGACGCUGAGGAGCGAAAGCAUGGGGAGCGAACAGGAUUAGAUACCCUGGUAGUCCAUGCCGUAAACGUUGGGCACUAGGUGUGGGGUCCAUUCCACGGAUUCCGUGCCGCAGCAAACGCAUUAAGUGCCCCGCCUGGGGAGUACGGCCGCAAGGCUAAAACUCAAAGGAAUUGACGGGGUCAUAGCUGUUUCC
Molecule: ribosomal RNA, 567 nt
Filed under: uncultured bacterium
Lineage: Bacteria
Description: partial 16S ribosomal RNA
Rfam family: Bacterial small subunit ribosomal RNA
Source: RNAcentral